UUAUGUUACCAGCUCUAAAACUCACGAAAAGCGAACCCAUGUGUAUACUCUGAAUGUGUGUGUUUUUUCUUUUUAAUUUUUGUGAGGUCUAACUUUCAGCAGGAAGGCCAUGACACUUCCAGUGACAAAUAAUUUCGCGAUUCCAGCUUUGCAGAGCGUGCUGGGAGACUGUUGCCCGCGGCGGUUGAUGGCGUCACGCCAGGAUCAGUUCGCGGGGAACCGACACCAACAUGGUGAGGAGGAUUUAACCCUGUGUUCGUGAAUGACUCUUUCACCACUCACCAGAAUGGCUUCCUCCCGCCAUCUUGAUCCCCGGUCUCACCCGCGCUUUUCAUAUAGUCCAUCAUCGUCCUGGUCUGUGCUAUCCUCUGGGUGCACAGUCCGAUAUUGGGUGCUAGCAGAUUCUCUUCUCUGUCUGUUUAAUGUCCUGUCUAUGACUCCCAACCUACUGUCUAUCGGCGUCUACCUCAUGUCGACCCACUCGCGGACAAUGUGACAGAUGGCGCCGCUUGUUGAUGAAGCAACUGACUUAGUGAUGAGGCCUCGGAUGCACUUGGCUGAAGAAAAAAAAAACCCCUCAACUAUACGCUCCUCUUUGCGCCCUGGAAACAAUAAUAAAAUUGGACGAAAGCUGUCAGAUGGGCUGGAAGUCAAAACUGAUCCACGCCCUGCAAACGGGAAGGAAGAAGGGUAGGGGCACCGCACCCUGCCUUACCUCCCUUGUCAGUGAUGAUGAUUGAAAAUGUCUCUCUCCGCGUGUUCAGCUUAGCGGGAGAUGUAUGUUCAUGGGGCAUCGGAGGCUGAUGGAGGAAAGAAGGAAGCGGGAGAGAUGAGGUAGAACGGGGUAAAAUUGUAAUCUUGGAGAUGACUGACACACCCACGGUCAGCCAGUGCUUUUAAUUUUUAUAGGCAGGUCAGCUGGUGAACGACAGGAGCCCUGAGAGGCAGUCCCCUUGCAUCCAAAGGCUAGAUCCUCCAUGGAAUGAUGGAUAAGUGGUCAACCACUCGGCUGAAGUUCGACUGACUGAAACGACCGCUCGAACGAACCCCAGCAUGUUUCCAUGAAACAUGUUACAGUGAUCGCGAUGCAUUACAAUGUAAUGAAGCUGCGUUACUGUAACAGUGUAUCGUGAAUCAGAGUAACUCUAGCUAGUCAUGUUACAAUGAGAGUUGUCUGUGGUUUGUGACAUUUCAACCUUACUGUGGUGUGUUAUGUUACAGUGACAUAAAUGGUUGUCGGUAGUGAUCUUGAAAUAAAAAUGUUACAACGUGGUUAGAGCAUUGAAUGGUAAAGAAUGUCAGGUUAUCUGUAGUUCGUGACAUUACAAUGUAACGAGAGCUGCCUGUACCUCGUCACGUGACAGUGUGACGACAGUAUAGUUGCAUAAAGUUUGUCACUGGUUCUGUGGGCAUCGGCAAACGACAGGCAAGAUGACUACUUAGACGAGCCUGGUGAAGGUUUUCUCGAGAGUCUGUCGAUUGCCAGACUGUUCUUGACCUCUGGAUCAGCAUCCAGUUAACGGUCACGUGGUUGAGACUUGAUGACAACAUUUCCCUCAACAGCAAAAUUUCACCACAAAUGUCUGACUUGCUGAACUUGGCGCUGCGUUGAUACUAGCUUUCUGGUGUAAACCGACUGACACCAGGCCUGGUGACCUUUGACAUUGCGCUCAACCCGCAGCUAUUUACCCGAGAGACACGUGGGUGUGGCGCACACACACAUACACAGAGCAGGUCCUUCAUUGGGCAGAAAGGAAUCACGAAUGGAGGAGCCUGGCUGCCAAGCUGUGCACGGAGGUGACACGUUCCAUCCAGCAUUUCAGGACGUGGAUGGUCGUAAACGUCACGCCACCCGACACGAACACCCGGGCACCUGAGACACUGGGCGCCUGGGAUCGUACAGACGGGGUGUACAGUCCAUUGUUGUCAGUGACUGCGGUUCUCACCAGGUGACAUUCCUAACAAACUUACUGCUGGAAUCUGCUGAACAGCUGCAGUCGUCUCCCAGACGAGUGUUGUGAUGGAGCUGCCGGGGUCAGGAAUUGAGGAAUGGAGGUGAUGCCGAGGUCAGCAGCCGAGAGGAGUGGCGCGAGGUCAGCUUGGACAGUGCCGAACACCUUUAUCAAAAACAGUUAUAAAAACAGCUUUUAAUUUUAAAAAGUUGAAACCAGAAUGAGAGAAAGAGUGUGUAUGAGAGAGAGAGAGAGAGAAAAUAACAGUCUGACUGAGCAUAUGUU
Long non-coding RNA from Pomacea canaliculata, 2237 nucleotides. RefSeq lists it as uncharacterized. The transcript has 3 exons. Lineage: Eukaryota; Metazoa; Mollusca; Gastropoda; Architaenioglossa; Ampullariidae. The record is from RefSeq and is a predicted model, not a curated record.